UGCAGGUGUAGCUCAGUGGUAGAGAGCUUGCUGAGUCUGCUCCAGGCCCUGGGUUUGAUCCCCAGCACUGCAA
RNAcentral lists this transfer RNA (73 nucleotides) under Marmota monax (woodchuck). RNAcentral's name for it is "tRNA.Undet". It matches the Rfam family "tRNA". Rfam says of the family: Transfer RNA (tRNA) molecules are approximately 80 nucleotides in length. Lineage: Eukaryota; Metazoa; Chordata; Mammalia; Rodentia; Sciuridae. The record is from RNAcentral.